Molecule: ribosomal RNA, 253 nt
Filed under: uncultured bacterium
Lineage: Bacteria
Description: partial 16S ribosomal RNA
Rfam family: Bacterial small subunit ribosomal RNA
Source: RNAcentral
UACAGAGGUCUCAAGCGUUGUUCGGAUUCAUUGGGCGUAAAGGGUGCGUAGGCGGCGCGGUAAGUCGGGUGUGAAAUCUCGGAGCUUAACUCCGAAACUGCAUUCGAUACUGCCGUGCUUGAGGACUGGAGAGGAGACUGGAAUUUACGGUGUAGCGGUGAAAUGCGUAGAUAUCGUAAGGAAGACCAGUGGCGAAGGCGGGUCUCUGGGCUGACACUGACGCUCAUGCACGAAAGCGUGGGGAGCAAACAGG